GCGGGAGUGGCGGAACGGUAGACGCGUAAGCUUCAGGAGCUUAUGUCCGCAAGGACGUGAGGGUUCAAAUCCCUCCUUCCGCA
This 83-nucleotide transfer RNA is filed under the name Chloroflexi bacterium 13_1_20CM_2_70_9. RNAcentral's name for it is "tRNA-Leu". It matches the Rfam family "tRNA". Rfam says of the family: Transfer RNA (tRNA) molecules are approximately 80 nucleotides in length. Their secondary structure includes four short double-helical elements and three loops (D, anti-codon, and T loops). Lineage: Bacteria; Bacillati; Chloroflexota. The record is from RNAcentral. RNAcentral also lists the same sequence under 2 other names.